Aegilops tauschii subsp. strangulata is the source of this 1529-nucleotide long non-coding RNA. RefSeq lists it as uncharacterized. The record is from RefSeq and is a predicted model, not a curated record. NCBI's taxonomy places the organism in Eukaryota, Viridiplantae, Streptophyta, Magnoliopsida, Poales, Poaceae.
AUGAUUAUUGCUUUUUUGACAAAAAAUACCUUUUUAUUCACUCGCUAUCAAUGAUUAUUGGUCAUGAUAACUUGUUAGUCAAAAUUCUAAAUUUAUUGAGGCCCCAUCCACUUUUUCCUGCCAUGCGACCAGUAUCAGCACUGUUAGGCUGUGUACCCUACAUACUAUAUCGAUGAUUUAUGAAUUCAUACAUAUAUUUGCAAGUGGCUAUUGUUUUAAUAUUUCUCAAAGAGUAAUUAAAUUUAAAUAACUUGUGUUCUUGUAUAAAAUAUAAGGAUGAGCGGACGUUAUCACUAUAGGCUCGCAUUAAAUAAUAAGUGUAAUCUGAUGUGUGUGUAUAUAUAUAGUGACACUAUUCUAAUCCUGGGAUUAGAAUAACUAUUUGGAUCACAGUCAGCCCCUAUAGGGGCCCGAUGGGAUGUUCCCGAACUCACGAACCGGGCAGCGACAAACAAAAGAAAAAAAACCCACCCCACCUCCCCCAAUCCCGAUCCACCACCUCCCCUGAUCCAGAUCCCCCUCCUCCCUCCCGCACCUCCUGCCCCAAACCGGCCGAUGCCCACCACCCGCCCUAGAUCGAUGCCACCACCCGCCCGAGAUCGAUUCGCCGCCUGCCCCCGCCCCAACUGGCGCCGCCGGCCCCGCGCCGUCCGCACCCCGUCCCAACUGACGCCGCCGCCACAGCGCCGCCCGCAUCCCGCCCCAACCUGCCCCACCACACCCGCGCUGCCCCAACCGGGGCCGCCACGACCUAGCAACCCUGCGCGCCGCCGGUCACCUCCCUCACGGCCACCUCCCUCCUUCCCAACGGCCGGCGCGGACCCUCCUCCACCAUGGCCGACGAGCCUCCUCCAGGCACCACCCUCUGAUCCAGCUGCCGCAGGGCCCCGGGAUCCCCGUGUGCUGUCGCCGGGCCAUGGAUCCCUGGCGCCGCCGUAGGGUCCUGGAUCCCAAGCGCCGUCGCCUGUCCCUGGAUCUCAUCCGCCGCCGCUCAUCCAGCGCCAUGCGGAGGCUCCCCGUCCCGAGCUCUACGCGGUCCUGGGCUCCAAGUACCAUCCACCGCCAUCGUUGGAUCUCGAAGGGUGUGGUCCAUGGAAGUUCAUACAUUCUGUUCGUGCAACUGCAUCCUCUCUGAGGGGAUUCUGAGGGGAAGAAGAAAAAAGGGUGAUGAGACGGAUGCGUGCUUGGAGACCUACGGCGAGAACUCCGGCAAUCCAUGUUCUGAUGCAUCUCACGCUCAAGCCGGCGGCCCUCCUCUUAGUGCGCGUGCGAUGUGUGUUAUGCACUGGCCGCAAUGCUCAGUUGUGCUCUCCGUGAGACACAUUCAUCUUUUUUGUUUUGUUUUGACAGUAUGUGAGAUACAGUCAUCUGUGUUUUCAUUUUUCGAAGUUCAGAUAUGACGAAAAUAACUCGUGGUUGUAGGCAACCAAUGUCAGGCCGAGCAAGUUACUUCUGGUAGGGCAAACAAAAUGCUUGAGGCUGGUCAAAGAAAAAAUUACUUGUGUCUAGAGAAUAAAAUUAAUUGGCCA